UGCGUACGCCUCUGCCCUCCCUCUCUAUCCCCAAACUCAUCCGCCAGCCUGUCUCUUUGCCGAUUGUGCUCGCGCUUGAGUGCGGGAGGGAGGAGGCUACCAUCGGCCACUCCUCGCCAUGCCCGUCGACGGACACCUUAUCGCUGAUGUGCAGCGACUUCGCCAGCUCGGGGAGCAGUCGCUCUUCCUCCUCGUUGUCGGCGGUAAAGGUGCGGGCAAAAGUACGGCACUUCAGAGCUUCGCCAGCGGACUGCAGGUGGCGACCAAGGUUCGGCACGCGGCCGGAGUGCACGACUGUGCUCUUACCGCACCGGCAGCUGCUUCACCCGACGAUGACUUCACACUGUGGACGCUGACCUACGCCACUGUGGCGCACAGCAGCUCGACGUUAGGCGCACUCUCUACCCGUGCACCACUGUUGCGGCCCUUCUCGAUCGUUGUCGCUGAUGACAUUGACCUCCUCUGGCUUCUAUGCAGCAUGAACGGCCUUCUGCCACCCCUCCAGUGUCUUCUCCACGCAGUGUUGACGAGCUCGUCGUGUGCGGUCGUGGCCAGUGCUCCUAGUCAGGACACGGUACCGCCAUGGCUACUAGAACAAAAGCUACCUGCUCUCUACCCGCUCCGCGAGCUUACCGAGGCGGGAGCGAGGCGGCUGUUGCGCAGCGUUCCGCAGCCACUCUUCAAAUCACGUGGCGAGCUGCUCAUUAGUGCACAGACCCCCUUCACAUCACGUCAAAUGUUUCUCUUCAACGCAUGCAUGGCACUGGAGGCCGCCUCGCACGGCGCUACCGGAGAAAAGCUGCGCUCACUGGUUCAGGAGGACCGCGCCUUCCUCCACCACCGGCGUUCCCCUACUGGCUCCCAGCGCGCACCUCCCCACCUUUACGGUUUAGGCGAGGUUCGCCAUCGCAUCAGCACUCUUGUCUCUGUCUUCGCCGCACACAGUAGCCCAGGCGGUGGCGGUCAGCUGAUGGCAUCCCUCCCCUCUUCCACCGGGUUGCUUCUUCACGGCCCCUCGGGGUGCGGAAAGUCCAGCCUCGCCCGACAGACGGCCGCCGAUUUUCCGUCUAUCCCAUUUUUCUUUGUGGAAUGCACGAUGCUAUUUUCCAAGUACCUCGGAGAGAGUGAGGCGCAGUUGCGGGAGGUUUACCGUCGAGCACGGACGCGCACUCCGGCGGUGGUGGUACUGGAGGACCUGGACGUCAUCGCACAGUCUCGCGGCGCGGUGCAGCACGGAGGCGGGGACCAGAGCAGCGGCAACAGCAAAAGCCAGCUCGACGUCACAAGGCGCAUGCUGGCGGGUCUCCUCUGCGAGCUGGACGGCGUCACAGACAACAGUGGCGUACUCACCAUUGGAAUCACUAAUGCACCGCAGGUGCUCGACGCUGCCGUCCUCCGCCAGGGCCGACUUGAAACGCUUGUGUACAUUCCGCCCCUCACCCAGGACGGAGCAGAGGAAUGGUGCACGCAUUUUUUCGAGCGAUUCGACGGCGCAGAGGGGCAGAGGCGCGAGUGCGUCGUGAUGGUGGCCAGCCACGCGGUCGGCUGCGCUGCCGCGUCGCUGCAGUACGUCCUGCGAAAAGUGUUCGAAGCAUGUGCGCUGCGUCACGGUUGGGACGCAGCCUCAGCCGGCUCGCUGCCCUUGCCGACCCUUGCGGAGAUUCAGGGACACCUCUUCGAGAGCUGCUCCGUGCUGCGGCGCGUGAACCACCCACACUUCGAGUAAUGGGCGCCUCUCACAACGCCUGUUAAACAAAACAU
This 1761-nucleotide unclassified non-coding RNA is filed under the name Leishmania donovani. RNAcentral's name for it is "gene:LdHU3.24.0200(CDS-product:ATPase_domain_prot ein_putative)". Lineage: Eukaryota; Euglenozoa; Kinetoplastea; Trypanosomatida; Trypanosomatidae. The record is from RNAcentral.